This is a long non-coding RNA of Myotis myotis, 706 nucleotides long. RefSeq lists it as uncharacterized. The transcript has 4 exons. The record is from RefSeq and is a predicted model, not a curated record. Lineage: Eukaryota; Metazoa; Chordata; Mammalia; Chiroptera; Vespertilionidae.
CAGCGUGGUCACCCCACUCCCCUCUCUCCACCCACUUUCACAGCAUCUCACAGCCUCAGCGUCAGGCGAGGGUGCGAGCAGCCUGUUCACCUCUCGCCCUGUCAGCCGUUUCCCUCCUCGCUGACCGUCCCCACAUCCCGUCUUGUGCCGUGACUUCCUCUUACGCCCAGGAGCCACCUCCAAAAGGAGUUGUUUGUGGGGUCCCCGCGGCCGGGCCCACAGCUGAGCCAAGUGGCACUCGGCGGCCACAGGCCGUCCCUCCGACAGGUGUUUGCUGAGCGCCCGUUCCCUGCCGGGCACUGUGGUCGGAGGAGCCUGCCUUCCUGGCAACAGGCGCAUCGGAGUAAGAUGAAGAUGCCAUUGGUGAAGGCGUGACAGAGGGGCAGCGGCCUGAGAAGGUGGCGGCGGAAGUGGGAGUGAGCGUCGGCACCAGAACCCGGGGCCUGAGCUGGGCCUGCACCUGCGCCUGCGCCUGCACCUUGGGAGGGAGGGGGCGGCCCUGAGGCGCCUGGACACGGCCUUCAGCUCCCAGCGGUGAGGACAAGGUCCUGUGGUUUGAAGGCCCAAGGCUGGGUCUCUGUCCCCCCCGCCACCCCCGUGCCCGGGGACCGAGGACAGUCAGUGUUAGAGGGGAUUCCGGUGCCUCCCAGGCCCCCUCUGUGUCUGGGGCCGGCACACCCACCACCAGCACUGCUCCCCUGUAGCU